GUUCACAUAAUUUUAAUUAAUGUCAUUUUAAUAUUACUAAAAUUAUAUUACUUUAUUAUUUUACAAGCUUUAAAAUUGUCGCAAGGCCAAACAAAACGUAUCUGUGAGCUGGAAAUAUGUGGGGCACUGGGGACAGAGGCAGAGUGUCUCGAUGGCCUCUGCUGGCAUGUGGUGCCUGGCAUGUUGUAGGCAGUCAGCAAACAGUUCCUGAAUGAAUGAAUAAAUGACUGGAUGGAUAAGUGAAUGAAUGAAAGGGUUGGCAGGAUGCCCUGGUUCCCACGGGGCUGGGAUGCUCACGUUUGCCCCGUAUCCCAAGAGAGAACACUGUGUCCAGAGGGAGGUGGUGGAGCUGGCAUGGACACAGGGCUGGCUGGCGGCCACCCGCGGCCAGGAGCAGGACUGGGGAGGCCAGGCGCUGCUUGGAUCAGCCUUGGAGCCCCUAUGGGCACUCCGGUUCUCCAGGCAACAGCUUCCAGUCCUUUAGCCCCUCAUGUCACGGUUUAACACACACACAAGCCCCAAAAGAGGCCCCCCACUGCACCCCUCAACGUCCUCUCUGUGCAGCUUUUCCCAGCCCUUCACAUCUGCAGGAGACUCAGUCCUGAGAGGCCAGGCCGGGAUGGGCGGGGGCUAAGAAGGGAGGGAGGAACCAAGGUUUCUCCUCCAGCCCAGGGAGCCAGGGGCUGGCAUUCUGUGUCCAGGACUUCGGGCCCUCUGUGAGCCUCUGUCCGCCAAGGCGAUGGAGCUGUGUUUGGAGUCCCUCGUCUUUGGCAGCGGCUGGGGCCAAAGCCCGGGCAAGACCAACGCCUUCGGCACCCGGACUCAGGCUCCGUCCUCUCUGCCAGCGUGCGGCUACAAUGACUCGACAUGGCAGGUGGGCAAGCACAGCACGCCCCAACAGACAUGCUUUAUUUAAUAUGUACUAAAAAUACAGCAGGCCUGUGAAACCCACAGGUGCAAUUGCUUAAAAUGAGGCUAAGGUAGACGUGUGAAUGGUUAAUAAUGAGUUGAUUAAAAUAUUCAGAAAUCAUCUACUGGAGACGGGCAAACUGCAAAAUGGUAGCAUGGGAGCAACUGAUGUUCGAGAAAGCCCAGGCUCCGGCAAGCCGUGGGUUUGAAUUUACACAUGCGCACAUAAUGGGUAUGAAUAAACCUUUCUUCAAAAAAACCAGAUCAAGUCAAGGCAGUUAUUUGCUGUGGGCAGGUGCCAAGGCUGGCUGCUUCAGUCCCCACGCGAGUCGCCCCCGAGCCUGCUUCUGCAGCCCAGCCUGGAAAGUGCAAGGCACUUGGAAAGGAGCCACGCCCAACGCCCUGUACCAGCGGCCUCCCGGACACCAACAGCGUCCUCUGCGCCUGCUGCAGCUUGUCCCUUAGUCCUCCCUGGACAGAGGGCGUGAAGUUGGCUGCGCCAACAGGACGCGGCCCGCUCACUUCGGGGCUCAUUGUCCUGGACACACAGUCAGGGCUGGACGCCUCCAGCAGCCCCACGCUUCACCCCAAGGUCCGCAAACCUGACAACUUCGGAGGUAGGGAUAUCUUGACACAGUCUGAAAACAAACCAUUUAAAACUUUUUUUCUCAAAAAAUUAAAAUAAUUUUUUUCUGCUUACAAAAUCUAUAAAUUCAGUUCAAUAUCAAUGAAAAUCGCAACAGGAUGUUGACACUUGAGAAGCUGAUUUGAAAGUUCAUCUGAAAGAGAAAAUAUAUAGGAAUCCUGAAGAUGAUUUCGAAAACCUCCAAAAAGACUUCAGUAAUUCACACAGAAAAUCCAGAAACAGAUUCAUGUUUAUGGGGAAAUUUAGUAUUUGAUACAGGAGACCUUUCAAAGCCAAGCUGGAAAGAUGGAAGGUCAACAGAGGCUUUGGGGAAAACUCACUAUCCAUUUUGAAACCAAUGUUAGAAUCUUCUUACCAUUUGCAAGAAUAAACUCCAGGUGUAUUAAAGAGCUAAACAUUUAAAAAAUCUAUAAAAGUUUUAAAGCCAAAUAUGGAAGAAUAUUUUUAAAAUCCUAUGGUGAAGAAGGCUUUUACUAAGCAGCAAACAAAACCUGGAAACCGUAAAGGAAAUGACUGACAGAUUUGAAUAUUGCAAGAACUAAAUGAAUGCCUCCUUAAACAAAUUAAAGGACAAAUUCCAGGCAGGGAGAAAAUAGUUUACAAUAGAAGUAAUGUGCCAAUGGUUAAUAUCUGUGUUGCAUAAACAUGUCUUUCCAAUCAAUAAGAAAAGAGUAGGAAAUGGGUAAGGAUUUAACAGGCAAUUCACAGAAGACAAAGUAACCGGCCCCUAAAUGGGAGCAUAUCCUCAACUUCACUAGUAAUAAAGGAAACGAAUUUAAAAGACGAUACAUUUCUCACUUCUUCUCUCCUUAUAGCUGUAUUCCACCUUUGACCAUACAGCCUGUUUUUAUUUAUCGUAAGCAUAGGUUAAUAAAUACAGGGCUUACCAUGUUAAUAUCUUCUUUCUAUGGAUGCGUAACAACUUAUUUUAUCAUUCCGUUUGUGACUGAAAUUGAAUUUCUUUCUGUAAACCUGAAAAUAUCUGAGACAAGCCUCGAUCAACUUAGAAGUUUACUUUGCCAAGAUUAAGGACACGUCUUGGGAGACAGGCCACUGCCUUCAGAGAAGGUGACAGAGGGCCAUGUCUGAAACAUUCUCCCACAACCAGGAACCCUCAGCAGCCGCUGAAGAGGAAAGGCAGUUAAAUGGAAAGACUUCUGAGCAAGUGGAGGAAAAGUCACGUGUGACCUAGGGAGGGGCUCCCACAGGAAGGGGCAAUGCCCUUGCCCUGUUCACCUAGCCUCCAGGUGGCUUCCCACUUGAAAUUUCAGAGGAUGGCAGAAACCUACUUACAAGGAAAUGAAAGAGGGCACAGCAACCUUAAGACCAGAGCAGCCCACGAUAUUUUUUAAUGAGGGCAAAAAUAGAAGACUUGCAAAAGACCCCUGAAAAUAAUGCCUGGAAGCUGCGAAACAUCAGACUGACACCGCACAAAAGAGGUCCAGCUGAGCAGGAGAAAAGCUUGAGAAGCAUCCAGAACAAUGUAGGUGGAGAGGCUAAGAAGAAAGAGGAGCCCACAUGGAAUGAAUAACCAAGGUCGGGACAGAGGAAGGUUCGCCAGAACUGGGAGGGCUGAAAUUGGACAUUGAGAUAAAUUAAAGAGUGUUCUUUAAAACUGUCAAGACUUUGGCUGGUCAAUAAGUAAACUGCAAACGAGUGUUCCUAAACCACAGCAGCAAUGCUCCCUGGAGGAGGGAAGGAGGCCGGGGCUGCCACUCUCCCAGGUGGCUGCGUCCCGGCCUUUGCCAUUGAUGUGUGCUUUCUCCAGGCUCACAGAUGUCCCUGGGCCGGUUGCAUCUGUGACCAGGACUCUGCCACCUGCCUGUGGCUUGCUGAUCAGCUGGUCACCCAGGAAUGUUAGGGAUGAACAGAGACCUAGAACUCAGGCUCCAUGGAUCUGGCAGCACCAGGAGACGAGGUUUCAAAUCUCAUGGCUGGGCCAGCCAGCCAGGUGCCCUGGAACUGUUGUGAUCCCUGCUCCUUGCCGGGCUUAGCCUCCUCUUACUUCAGCCCAGAAGUCCCCGAGUACCCACUCAACAAAUGCCAUCCCUUUAAUUUCUGUGGCCUGCUGCCAUCACGGCUCGCCUAAUUCAUUCCCUCCACACCCUAAGUGUCCACGGAAGUGGCUGAAACAGUAAAACCACAGAGGAGCAUUCAUUCCAGUCCCCAAG
RNAcentral lists this long non-coding RNA (3726 nucleotides) under Homo sapiens (human). Its description in RNAcentral is "HSALNT0059981". The record is from RNAcentral. Lineage: Eukaryota; Metazoa; Chordata; Mammalia; Primates; Hominidae.